GAGAUAUUAGUAAAAAUUAUUACAAAGCCUUGUCAAGACUUAAUUAUAAGUGAGAACCUUGUAUAUCUUA
This 70-nucleotide transfer RNA is filed under the name Siren intermedia (lesser siren). Its description in RNAcentral is "tRNA-Asp". The record is from RNAcentral. Lineage: Eukaryota; Metazoa; Chordata; Amphibia; Caudata; Sirenidae.